CGGGGCACAAAAUGAUUAGAAUAAUUAUACUUCAAUUUUCAAUAUGAUAUGAAAGUAAAAUGAAAUAGGAUAAACAAAGUAUAGGAAUAUCAGCAGUCUUUUUCACUGACAUUACAAAACUUAACAGAAAUUGCUAAGAGUAGUCAGGGGCAUCCUUAUCUCUCUCUUAAAACUAAAAUGGCGCUUGUAUGUGCGUUCAAGAGAACAAACUAGGAUAUCAUAAACGAUCGUGAUAAAUAAUGUGAAGUUUGUCAAGAUAUACUUGGGUCUGGAUGGGAAAUCCUUCAUUUCUUUUUUCUUUUAAUUUUGUCCUUUUUUCUGCACUUUUGUUCAUUUUCUCUAAACUCUCGGAACUAUAAACCUCCAUGAUAGCAACUUUUUUAAGUGUUAAGGGACGGAACUGUAAAUCUCCAUGAUAGCAACUUUUUUUAAGUGUAAAAGGACGGAACUUUAAACCUCCAUGAGAGUAGCUUUUUUUUAGUUUAAAGGGAUGGAAUUGUAAAUAUCCGUAACUGAUACUGUUCAAUUGGGUGUAAAGGGACGGAACUGUAAAUAUCCGUGACUGCAACUAUUUAUUUGCAUAUUUGGGCGUAAAGGGACGGAACUGCAACCCUCCUUGACUUCGACUAAUCUAUUUGGUGUAAAGGGAUGGAACUGAAACCCUCCUUGACUUCGACUAAUCUGUUAUGUGUAAAGGGACGGAACUGCAACCCUCCUUGAUUUCGACUAAUCUAUUGGGUGUAAAGGGACGGAACUGUAAACCUCCGCGAUAGCAACUUUUCAUUGGGAGCAAAGGGACGGAACUGCAACCCUCCGUUACUGCAACUAUUCUAUUGAAUUUACAGGGACUAAACUUCAACCCUCCGUAACAAAGACUUUUCCAUAUGAUGUAAAAAUACGGAACUGUAUCCCUCUGUGUCUACGACUGUUGCAUUGUGUGUAAAGGGAUUGAACUGUUACCCUCCGUGUCUUCGACUGUUCCGUCUUAUAU
This 991-nucleotide long non-coding RNA is filed under the name Mytilus galloprovincialis (Mediterranean mussel). The record is from RNAcentral. Lineage: Eukaryota; Metazoa; Mollusca; Bivalvia; Mytilida; Mytilidae.